AGUGAUAGACUAUUUGAAUAAGAAAUUUAUUACCGUACCAUUUGAGCAUCGUCUAUCACUAGACGAGCAAAUGUGUGCAACAAAAAUCAAACAUUUUAUGAAACAAUACUUACCCAACAAGCCCCAUAAGUGGGGAUUCAAAUUAUAUGUUUUAUGCUCUCUGUCUGGGUAUGCCUACAGUUUUGAGAUUUACUCAGGAGCUAAGGACAUAGACCGUUUACCUGACGAACCAGACCUCGGAGCUGUAUCGAAUACAGUUAUUCGAUUGUUACGACCAGUACCAAGGCACGUCAAUCAUAUAACUUAUUUUGACAAUUUUUAUACGAAUAUUCCUCUGCUACAUUACUUGACCAACGAAGGUAUUUAUUGUCUUGGAACAGUACAGAGAAACAGGCUCGGAAAGUCGUGCAAGUUGCCGGAGAAACGGGAAAUUAUGAAGUCUAACGUACCCAGAGGAACAUAUCACGAAAAUGUGGCCUCUCACGAAGGCAAAGAAUUCUCGGCCACAAGUUGGAAAGACAAUAAACAAGUAUUAUUACUUUCCACGUAUGUUGGCGCUGAACCAGCGGAUACUAUAACCCGCUAUGAAAAAAAACUAAAGGCUUAAUGUUCAAGUAUCAUGUCCUCGGGUCAUAAAAGAAUAUAAUACACACAUGGGCGGUGUUGAUUUGAUGGAUAGCUUCAUUGGUCGAUAUCGCAUCCGCAUAAAGUCAAGAAAGUGGACAACGAGGCUCUUCUACCACUUGCUAGACAUGACUGUCAUCAAUGCCUGGGUACUUUACAACAAGGUAAACACAGUGAAAGGAAAACUUCCGAAGAAUAUUAUGAAGUUAGAAGAUUUUAGAACUGAGCUUGCCGAUACUUUAUGUAGAUAUCAAAGUGAUUCGAAAAAUAAAAGGGGAAGACCCAGUGCAAACAGUCGACAAGAUACUACAGUACCUUCUAAAAGACCCCGGACAGGUGUACAAGUACUACCCUCUACUGACGUGCGUUGCGAUUCUAUUUGUCAUGAAAAAAUAUUUAUGGAUUCUAGAAAUAAGUGCAAAUUUAAUAAUUGUAGGAAACUUACGUCUUGGUUCUGUAAAAAGUGUAAAGUGUCGUUAUGCGAUAAUAAAAUUAACCAAUGUUUCGCAUUAUUUCAUGCAUAGGUAGGAUACCUUUUUACAGAACCAAGAGGUAAGUUUCCUACAAUUAUUAAAUUUGCAACUGAUGUCAUUAUGGCCUUAAUGCCUGAAGUAUCAAAAUUGAUACCUGUUUCUUUUUUUAAAUAAAUAUGUAAAAUGAAGAUUUUGAUUUUUUUAGCUAUUUUUCCCUUCAUUUAGAUCCUCAAGCAAACACAGUAAUAUUAAAAAAAAAACUUUCGUGAAUCAGGCUAUUUAAGGGCUAAUCUCGUAAGAGCUACAAGUCAGAUUUCUCAUCCCUUUUCAUAGAAAAGUACUGUAAAUAUAUCUACGCACGUAUUUGCAUCAUAAUGUUAGUUUGAUUUUAUUUUAAAAAGACUGCUACAUAAUUUCAUGGUUAAAUUGAUAGUAAAUUGUACUUGUAUUUAAAUUCGAGACAAAAAUACUUAAAUAAAUGAUUCGAUUUUAAAAAAUAACUUUUUGUUUCUUUAGUUAGUAGGUAUAACUCUCCUAAUAUAUUACAAAUAAAUAAUAUAAAAAAUAAAGUAUUGAAACAGAUAAAAAUCUGUUCCAAUUUUAUGCCAAGCCGAGGUAAUAAUUAGGAAAAACUAAAAAAAAAAAACAUUUAUAUGUCCAUCCAAUUAACUCGAGUUCAACCCGAAUAAUUUGGAUUUUAACUCGAGUUACGUUUAUCCCGAGUUGGCACAUCACUAGUUACGUUGCUGUAUAAGCUGUUAAGUGAUUUAUUAACUAGAAGACGCUUACCAGUACCCCCAAUAUAUCAGCUGUUAGUAACAUUGAGAUUCUACGUUACUGGUAGUUUUCAGGUACUUACUGGUGUAACGCGCCCGUACCGCGCCUCUCGCACCCCUCUCUCCCUUGAGAUCACGCUACUCAACUCGCCCCUCCUACCAGGAGAUCAGGCCACGUUCUUAGCCCCUCUUCUGUACAACACGCCACCAGCGCUGCCGCGUUCCUGCUCCUCGCCUCUUGCACCCCGUGCCCUGCUCGAGACAUCCCCGUGUCGCGCUUCCCGUGCCCCGCGCCUCAUACCACAAUCGGCGCAACCGCACCGGACAGCUAGUCGGACCCCGUCUGCUCUCGCGCAAAAACAUCAUUAUGCCCUCAUAAUCUUCCGUUGGCUCGUUUUCACAUAUUUUUUUGUAACUUUUGUUGUGUAAUGUUAACAUCAGUAUUAAAUUUUUCAAGAUUCCCUAUUUAAAAGAAAAUUUGAGCAAGCUACUCUAGAUGGAAUACUUCUAGGUGGUGAAAAGAAAUAAAUGACAUUGUAUUUCUAGCUUUAACAACAGAUUUGUGGACGUCCGAGGUUAACGAUGCUUACAUUGCCGUCACGGGCUCACGGGGCACCAUAUAACAAAAGAUCUCAUACUUAAAACAUUUUUACUAAAAUGUGCAGAGUUUAAAGAUACGCACAGCAGCGCGAAUAUUCAAGCUGCAUUGCUCGAAUAAAAUUUUAUUGUUACUGACAACGCAGCUAAUGUGAAAUAAGCCAUUACUGAUAUAGGGUGGGAGCAUUACGGAUGCUACGGCCACACGUUGAACUAAUACAAGAUGCCCUGAAACUAGUCCAAGCUGCUUUGGACAAAGUUAAAACUCUCGUCCGACAUUUUAAAACAAGCACUGCAGCGCUAGAGGAAUUAUUAAAAGCACAAACACAAGAAAAUCCGGACGUGACACCAAAGCGCUUGGUACAAGAAGUACCAACCCGGUGGAACUCUGUAUUUGCCAUGUUAAUGCGAUUUGUGUAACUUGAAAACCAAAUGUGUGCCACUGUGGCAAUACUUAAAAAAGAUUUACCGAUAUUAAUUAUCGAUGAAUGCAUAAUGUUUAAUGCACUCUGUACAGUUUUAAAACGUCCUCUUUAAAUGCCUGUAGCUGGCUAGCUAGAAGUCACAUGUCUUGAGCAAUUCCUCAAAAGGGGUCACAUUCAAGUUUGCUCCAAAGCGCGAUGGCCCAUACGUAGUCAGUAAGAAGACAAGUCUAUACGUAUUGCGUCGCAUUUCCUGAUAAGCCUGAUGAGAUUGUAUUGAAAAUGUUAGUUGUUUAACUAGUAGUGGGGGCACUUGUCCUAGUCUAAAGGGGGAGUAUGUAGGAGUCCUGCAUAUACGAUACGCUGUCUCUUUCGCACGGAUACUCUCUCAGCUCAGCUAUUAAUCGGGCCACUGAUAUAAGUUUCUUUGAUGUUGACAGGGUUAAAAACAAAGGUCCAACAAAACGGUCGGAGAACUUCAAAAACAACAUAGGUAAACCUAAGAAUCAAAGAGAUGCUCAAGAUGUAGUCCCCAGCACUACAGCAACACCUAUAAGAGACGAGCCCUUGUAUGAUAUUGGGCCUCAUUCCUUCUUGCUGGCAGUUCAAGACACAUACUGUCAAAAUUUUGAAUACUCUGGAUUUAUUCCAUUAGUUAACCAGACGUACGAAAAACUCCAAGGUGUGGAUCCCCGCCUCCUUGACCGUAUGCCAUUAAGUAUGUGUUGCGGCCGUAACGUCAUGCGCUAAACCACUAAUUAAACUAGACCGGCAGGCCAAUCCCGGCAUCGAUGACGGGGUAUAUAAGACGAUGACAAGUGUUUUCUCGCUCUCUUUCGCUUCCGUUAUUUACCCGAUGUCGACAUUCUCGUUCCUUCAUCUUGUAAUUGUAAAGUGGCAGAAAUCAACCGAUUCUACGUAAAGAAAGUUUUAUUCAAACCAACACAUCGAACAUUGGUCCUUUGCUCCAAACACUGGCCCAGCAAGGAAGACUGGUAAAAAGCGCAUUCAGAAGACGAGGUAAGCCAACCAUCCGCCAUAUUCCCCGACCGCAUGGUAACAUUUACGUUAAUAUUGUGCCUCGGUGAUUUCAGUGAUUUGGUGUAUGCAAGUUGCCGCGGUGACCGAAACCAGCAGUACAGUGUGCCGCAGCCAGCACCGUCUGUACCUGACCACGCGUCGGGUCCGCCUCUUACAGUGAGUACUCCACACAAUGGCAACUAAAUUGGGUGUAGAAUUAAACGCGGAAGUAGCUUCUUUAUCACGCGUUAGGUCUCCGUAACAAAGUACGGAAGGUUUGACCUUGAAUCAUCUUAUACGUAAACGUGGUAUUUAAAAAGGUAAUUUCAGUAAAUUUCAUAAUUAUUUGCUCACAUUAUGCGCCGACAAUUUAACAAACGUGCAAAUAAUCGACAUCAACUUAAGAAUCCAAAACACGGUCACUUUAUUUUCCAAAUUUAACGUAAUUCAGUCGCAAACCGAAGAUUCGGUUGCUAACGUAAAUCUAGAUGAGCAGCUAGAACAUCGCGAACUAUUCGAAAGUAAUUAUUUUAAAACGCUCGCGUUAGCGCAAAGCAUAUGUAUAAACAAUGCGAUCAACAAUGAGAAUAAGUCCGAAGUUACCUACUAUUAUCAUGCCCACCUUCAGUGGCGAAUACGACCAGUGGCUGGAGUUCUGCGAUCAUAUCGCUAGUUCAUAAUUCACAUGAGAUCAGUAACAUCCAAAAAUAUCACUAUCUUAAAUCAAAGGUAGUGCGGAAUUAGUAAUAGAUUAGCUAGAAUUCUCCAGCAACAAUUACCCGAUUGCUUGGGAACUACUAUUAAAUCGAUACGAUAAUCAUAGGUUAUUAAUAUUCAACCACGUGACAUCUUUAUUCAGUUUAAAGUCUAUUUCAAACGAGUAGUCUAGUUUAAUUAGGAAUUUAAUUGACACGGAACCCACAGACUCCUGGGAUACCCUUAUUACAUACUUAGUUGCGUCGAGGUUAGAUUAAACGAGUGGGAGCAAUACAAAAUUAAUUUAUUUGCGGACAACGCCGACACGCGACCCGUUAAGCUAGAUAACUUGCUUAAAUUCCUACGACAUGCUUGACACGUUGUCAGUUUCGAACAAAUAAAAUAUUACGCGAAGUAAGUCAAAGGAUUACUGCAACGUGUCAAGCGACAAGCUCUCGAGAAUAUACAGUUAAAAAUUGUCUCGCUUGCAACGCGAAUCAUCCGUUAUUUGUGCGAAAAAAUUAUCAACUUAGACAUCAUCAUUACAAGACAUGUAAGAAAUGUAACAAAAAACAUAACAUAAACAUAGUUGGGUUACAAAUGACGAAAAACGGUUAAUAACAGACGUAAUUAUCGAGACAUGAUAAUCAAAAGUUACGAUUCAAUUACCUUAAAAAAAUUACACCAAUACCGUGAAGAAAAUCGGUGUAUAUAUACCGAUGACAGCUAAAUCUUAACCAAUCAUGUGCAAAACAAAGGAUGGGGUACCAAAGUUGGACCACCAUUAAAGAAUUACCUAUCUAAGGAGAAAGGAUAAUCAUUGAACUUACUGGUGCAGAACAAGGGUUCAUACCUAACGGACUAUUGACAUACAAAGCAAGUAGCGUUUCUGGUGAUUACCACUCUAACAUGAAUGCAGAAAACAAUAGUGUCUGAAAGAACGUCUGGUACCAAAUCUUCCACCGAUAUUCGUAACCCAAGGAAAAUACCCUGCCCUUGUCUUUGAAAAUUAAAAGACUAGUUUCCCAUAUAUUGAAGCUCGGAUGCAGGAUUUCCUCCAGAAAGAAAUUUGCGGAAAAACUAGGAUUGAAGCACAAUUUUAAUAAUGAAACUAAAAUGGCUGGACCACAAUGGUUGAAAAGCUUCCUUGAAAGAGGGCUUACCAAUUCAAAGAGCGAAGGGUCUAAGUAGGGCCGAGGUAGCCAAAUUUUUUGAUUUGCUCAUAACCGUCUUGACUGACAAUGACUUGCUAGAUAAGUCGGAGCGAAUUUUCAAUAUACCUGGCAAAGUAUUGGCCAAAAAAGGGACUAAAACAGUGGAAUCACUUACUUCCGGUGAAAAAGGCGAAACAAUUACAGUUGUUGUUUGUUGCAACGCUAUUGGCAAAUUUCCUCCCACCUGUUCUGAUUAUCAAGGGGGUAAAUAAAAAGCCUGAAUUUGAAGGAUUUCCACCUGGUUCAAAAGUUUAUAUGCCAAAGAAAUUAGCAUAUAUUUGCUCAGAACUUUUUUAAAAGUGGCUGACCGAACAUUUUAUACCCCGUGUUCGAACCAAAGACAAUUACGUCAAAAUCCAGCGUUUUUUACUCUGUGACAAUGCUGACAGUCCAAUCGACAGCGUCGCUUCCGGGCUCUCUUUGGUCCCGACCUCAACACGAAGCGGAGCGAGUUCAACAAGUCUUUGUCAUUGUUUGUUUUAAUUAAAGUUAUUUUAGUCAUCGAGUUUUAUUAUAACUUUUCAAAACACAAUGAACACCCCGCAAGCCUCCAGGAAAGGUAUUACUAAUUUUAAAUGGUCAUUCAUCUCAUUCCAGUGCUGUCAAUAUGCUAGAAACUUCUCGUGACAAUGAUGACAGUUCUAAAUAAUAAAAUGGCUUCGGUGACAAAAUUACAGCAAGAUAAUGAAUCCCUGCAUUCAUCUAUAAAAGAUUUGUCCCUUAGACUAGGUUCUAUGGAACAGAUAACCCGAAAGAUAGAAAUAAAUGGUAAUUAAAAAAGGAGCAAACACAAGCAAAAACGAAGAGGAACUUCAACAUAAGUGACAUUAUUUACGAUGUUACUAAGGUCGCAUGUUCACUAGUUAAAAAAACCUCUGAUUAUCAUUAAAGUCGACAAGAAAAUGUCAUUACGCAAGUAUUUAACGGAAAAAUUAAAAACAGAAAUGAAUUAUAUAAACACGUUUUUUAUACUAAAGACAGAAAAGCUCUGCGUCUGGAAUAACCACCUCAGGUAAUCCUAACCUAGCGUUAGAUAAUUUUGAUCGAUUUGUUGUCACACGUCCAGAAAACAUAUUUAAUAUUGUUUACAUUUGUAACAAGACCAAGAACACGAAAACAUUGGAAUCUUGGAGCAUUAGGAAACGUGAGAAAAAAUAAAAUCUCCAAGUCAUAGGUUCAUUGCGAAAUUCAACCUCUUUGGCCGACAAGUGUGAACAAAACCAAUGAGGCUGCAUACUGGCCACCGAGACAUUUACAUAGUUUGUUAAACAUAAGAUGUAAGAGAAAUAAGCACACAAGAAAAAGGAUGUGAUAGACAUAGUUUUCAGUCCAUAAUAAGAAACUGUUACGUGAAUAAAUGUAAACAAGUUAAACUGUCAGUAACAAGUUAAACAAUAUGAGCUACAAAAAUAAUAAUUACUCGGUCUAAAACAUUAUUUCUUUUAGUGUAUUCUCCAGUUUAAAAUGCAUGGACUUUAAUUGCUUUUUUAGUAUGUGAAAUACAAGCAAACAGCCACCAAAAUGCACUAAAAUAGUGAAGUGACCACUGCCCAGACAUAUCCACAAUACCAAACUUUAUAACAUAUAGUGGAAAAGUACCUGGUAACUUAAUUAAGAGAAGGCACUGUUUCUUGUAACACAGGUUCCCACCACAGGAGGCAGAGUCCUCAAAUAUUGUAAAAUUUGGUGGAACAAUAAAGCAUUUUUAAUUUUCA
Papilio polytes (common Mormon) is the source of this 7537-nucleotide long non-coding RNA. RefSeq lists it as uncharacterized. NCBI's taxonomy places the organism in Eukaryota, Metazoa, Arthropoda, Insecta, Lepidoptera, Papilionidae. The transcript is spliced from 2 exons. The record is from RefSeq and is a predicted model, not a curated record.